RNAcentral lists this ribosomal RNA (252 nucleotides) under uncultured bacterium. Its description in RNAcentral is "partial 16S ribosomal RNA". It matches the Rfam family "Bacterial small subunit ribosomal RNA", at positions 524 to 776 of the family's 1533-position model. The record is from RNAcentral.
UACGGAGGAUGCGAGCGUUAUCCGGAUUUAUUGGGUUUAAAGGGUGCGUAGGCGGGAUGCCAAGUCAGCGGUAAAAAUGCGGUGCUCAACGCCGUCGAGCCGUUGAAACCGGAGCGCUAGAAUUCCGAUGCCGUCGGAGGAAUGUGUGGUGUAGCGGUGAAAUGCAUAGAUAUCACACAGAACACCGAUUGCGAAGGCAUCUGACGAAUCGGAGAUUGACGCUGAUGCACGAAAGCGUGGGUAUCGAACAGG